This 407-nucleotide ribosomal RNA is filed under the name uncultured Methanosaeta sp. RNAcentral's name for it is "bacterial SSU rRNA". It matches the Rfam family "Archaeal small subunit ribosomal RNA", at positions 932 to 1338 of the family's 1478-position model. Lineage: Archaea; Methanobacteriati; Methanobacteriota; Methanomicrobia; Methanotrichales; Methanotrichaceae. The record is from RNAcentral.
GGGGGCGACAGCAAUAUGAAGGUCAGGCUGAAGACCUUACCCGAUUAGCUGAGAGGUGGUGCAUGGCCGUCGUCAGUUCGUACUGUGAAGCAUCCUGUUAAGUCAGGCAACGAGCGAGACCCACGUCCACAGUUGCCAGCAUACCCUCCGGGGUGAUGGGUACACUGUGGAGACCGCCGCUGCUAAAGCGGAGGAAGGAGUGGGCAACGGUAGGUCAGUAUGCCCCGAAUCUCCCGGGCUACACGCGGGCUACAAUGGUUGGUACAAUGGGCAUCUACCCCGAAAGGGGAAGGAAAUCUCUUAAAGCCAAUCGUAGUUCGGAUUGAGGGCUGCAACUCGCCCUCAUGAAGCUGGAAUCCGUAGUAAUCGCGUUUCAACAGAACGCGGUGAAUACGUCCCUGCUCCUU